UCAAGAAAUUCAUAAGAUUCAACUUUCACAUUUUUAGUUUUAUGAUAAAUGGAUAUUUCUUAUUCCCACUCGACUUGGUAUCAAGUGAUUUGUGAAUAGCUUUUAUUAAUUUCUCGUUAAUAAUGGGGCACUACUUUUCAUUACAUGCUUAUUGUCACGUGUGUUGUCAUGCUUAUGCAAUCACAUUGCAAAAUUGAGAAUGUCACAUUUAUCUGUGUUGCCAUAAUUCCAUUUUCUUGUAGUAUGGUUAAUAACCUCUUGGAUAACAAACUUUGAAAAAUAACUAUGCUACAAGAGUUUCUUUGAGAGUGUCCCCUUGUUCUUUGUUGUUGAUAAAAUGCUACAGGAGUUUCUCAAUGCCUCUGGUGUGGGAGUUUUUUUUCCCUGAGUAGAUAACUAUGGGAAUAUUAUUUUUUAUAUUUACUUUUUAUUGUUGGGUUUGUUUAGUUUUCCUUCGCUCCAAUUAUAAAUGUUGUAGCUACGAUACUCUUUUUGUUACCUUUCUAUUUUUGAUGAAUAAUGCUUAUGGGUUCAUGAAAUCUAAAUAUAAUUGGAUGAAUGUAAUUGUAUAGUCCAUAAUAAUCGGUAAUUGUAUAAAAUAUAUUGGAGUAUAGUCCAUGAUGACAUGUGCAAUGGAUGUGUGGUGUUCAAUGAUUAUAUAUAAUAUAAUAGAUCUGUUGUUUUCCUAUAAUAGGAUAGACCCACACACUUCAUCAAGCAUGGGCCAUGAGAAUAUUGGAGGCAAGAGAAACCUCCAAUGGACACAACCAGAAGAGGACUUGUUCAUUCAACUUAUGGAGACCGAGAUUAGGGCUACGGGGCAGGGGGGAGAUUUGAAAAAAGGUGCAUGGAAACGUAUGGUAGACUCCAUAACAAUGCAAUAUGGGUCAAUAAACACCUUAAGUAGGCUAAAAAGAGAAUGAAUGGGCAAAUAAAUAUCAUAGCAAAACUUUGCUCGAGUAUUCACUGCUAAAUAAGAUCUACAAGGGUGGCACGGCAUAUGGAACUUACAAAUCUAUUGGGGGUGGCAUUAGAAUUGAGCCAGAAAGUCCCAACACUUCAAUCUCAAAUGACCUCCCAUUAAAAGUCCAGGAUGAAUCUAGCUCAUCCACAUCAAAAAGAAAACAGUCUCAAACUCCAAUAGGAACACAUCGCCAAAAAAAGCAACCCUCCAUCGCCGAGUCCAUGUCUUUAGCCAUGACAGAGAUGACCCAAAGCAUUAAGAUGCUGGCAUGUGACACCGUAAAUAACAGUAAUACUCCUGUGGUGGAUGGUCCAUCCAAGGCUAGGAGAGAUGCUUGUAAGAUUGUUGAAAGCAUGUGGAAAGUAGGUGAAGUUGGCGAUGAUGCCCUUCUAUCGACGGAAAGGAUCUUCCAAGAUUCUACAAAGGCGGAGAUGUGACUAAACUUGGGGGAUCCAAGGAUACACUUGGGGGAUCCAAGGAUACAAAGGGCUUACUUAGAUGAAAAGAUGAAACACUUUCGAUAGAUACCUGAUUGACUAUGUUUAAGUGUAACAUUAAAGAUGACUAUGUUUAAUUUUAACAUCAAAUACUACUUCUUUCAUUUCUAUGUGGAUGGUUUAUGUUAUUUUAAUGUCCAAUAUUGCUUAAUGUUUGCUUUGUGGAUUAUAGCUUCUUUCAUUUCUAUGAUGAUUUGCUCUGUGGAUGAUGGCUUCUUUCAUUUCUAUGAUGGUUUGCUUUGUGGAUGAUGGCUUCUUUCAUUUCUAUAAUGGUUUGCUUUGUGGAUGAUGGCUACAUUCAUUUGUAUGAUGGUUUGCUUUGUGGAUGAUGCUUUCUUUCAUUUGUAUGAUGGUUUGCUUUGUGGAUGAUGAUUUCUUUCCUUCGUAUGAUAGUAUAAGUUGUGGAUGAUGGCUUCUUUCAUUUGUAUAAUUAUUUGUGUUUUGUUUUUGCAGGUUUUUUCUUUCACGUCAUUGUUGUGUUGUUAUUGCAAGACUAUUUUCAGUCUUGGAAAGCAUUAUAUCUAUGAUUUCUAGUGUAUGAGUGAAAUAGAAUGGUAGAUAUUGAUUUAAAGGUCUAGAGAUAAAUAUAGGUGUAACUUAGGAAGGUCCAAGGUAAUAUACCAGUGAUCAUUGUAGUUCUUAUUUCUGCGGGGGCUAUUUGAUAAUGGAAUUUAUAGAUCCCUGAAGGAGUAGGUUGGUGAAGAUGACAUUUGGGCUUUGGAAAGCUAGAUUUUUCGUAUUUAGGAAUUAAAUGCAGUAUCCUAUACGAACACAAGUUGAUGUAGUUAUUGCAUGUGCAAUGUUGCAAAACUACAUCAUGAUGACAUGGGGAGCCAAUAGUAGAAGAGAGUUGUGUUUUAGAAGGAGGGUUGAGAGUGAACUGGUAAUUGACAGAGAUGAUGGUUUCUCGCAAUUGACUCAAGGGCAUGAUAACGUCAGUCUGCGAGAUGCCAUGGCGACGCAGUUGUGGGAGUCCUACCUAAAUCGCUAGAAGUUAUUUCUCCCAUUUAUUAUGUUGAAAUAGCACAGUCAUCAUUUGAUUAUUUGUCAAAAUUGAUACAAAGGUUGUUUGGCCUUUGAAAUUUGGCUAUUUUCUUGGCCAUGCACUAUGUGGGUUUGCUUUUUCAAUUAUGUAUGUUUAAACUAUUAUAGGUUAUUCUUGAAUAGGCUGGUUUUAUAUAUGAUAUAUGGAUACACGAAUUGUGAAUGUUGCUUGACAUGCAACACACAUAUCUUAACAAACAACAUACAAAUGUUGUGUGCCAUUAUAAUCUUAGAGAGAGAGAGAGAGAGAACACACAAAUGUUAUGCACAUGACUUGUAAAUGAUGUAUAUUUUUUAAUUGUAAAUGAUGUAUAUUUUUUAAGUUGGAUAUGGAUGCAUCAGUAGUGAAUGUAGGUAGUAUUGAAGUUAUUACAGGUUAUUGUUGAAUGGGCUGAUUUUUUACUGCUUGCAUUGUGCAUGUGUGUUUGAAUGGGCUGAUUAUGGGUUGAUUUCCAUGGCCAAUUUGUCUAUUUGAUAACCUCUUUGUCUAUUUGAUAAGCUCUUUGUCUAUUUGAUGAAUAAUUCUCAUGUUCCGUCAUGAUUAACAUUAGAGAGAUGAAAUUUGGAGCCCAUGUAUAUGUAUAUGUAACAGUAUGAUCUUUGAUUCUUUAUCCAUUUUCUUGAGAUGGUUUGUACCUGUUCAUGUUGGAAGAAUGGUACUUGUGGUUGAAUUAUGCACCUUCACAAAGUGUGUUGAAGGCAUCUUUCAAUAAAGUAAAACUUCUCUUCUCUCUCUCACUCGAAGGUCAAAGAAGAUGAAGGAGCAAGCAGAGUGCUCUGAAUCUGUGUUCUUCAUCCUUUUGAAGCGGCAAAUUACCUGAACGUAAAGAAUUUACUUGAUAGAACUUGAUUGGUGGUCGCAUAUCGCAUCAAGGAUUAGAGCGUGGAAGACGUUCAGAACAUAUUUGGAAUUGAAAAUUAUUUUUCUCAUGAUGACGAGGAUGCAGUGAGGAAGGACAAUGAGUGGGCUUUUGAAUGAGUCCCCCAUGAAUCCCAAAGUUUUUUGCUUUAGAGCCUUAUUAUUUCAGUAAUUGGUAUCAGGGUGGGUGUUUAAGUAUGGUUGGAUUAGUGUGAGUUGUAGAUUUUAUAAAGGCAUUUUGCCUCUCUCUCAUUAUUUAGAACAUUAUUUAGAAAGAUGUCAUUGUCACAAGUAGCAGUUGAUUCUUAAAGAUCCCACUUUCGCAGUUGAUUAUUAAAGAUCUCAUUUAUUCACAAGUAGCAGUUGAUUGUUAAAGAUCCCAUUUAUUGGUCUUUAAAAAGAGGAAGAUGAAUAUUUACUUGGAUCUGAGAUAGAGUGAGAUAGAGGCAGAUGAAUAUUUACUUAGAUCUGAGAUAAGAUCAAAUAGAAGUCAUUUGGAUAUUCAUAUCCUAAUUGGAGCU
Amborella trichopoda is the source of this 3885-nucleotide long non-coding RNA. RefSeq lists it as uncharacterized. Lineage: Eukaryota; Viridiplantae; Streptophyta; Magnoliopsida; Amborellales; Amborellaceae. The record is from RefSeq and is a predicted model, not a curated record.